UGGCCGAGCGGUCUAAGGCGCUGGAUUUAGGCUCCAGUCCCCGCGGGGACGUGGGUUCGAAUCCCACCGCUGCCA
Molecule: transfer RNA, 75 nt
Filed under: Colius striatus (speckled mousebird)
Lineage: Eukaryota; Metazoa; Chordata; Aves; Coliiformes; Coliidae
Rfam family: tRNA
About the family: Transfer RNA (tRNA) molecules are approximately 80 nucleotides in length. Their secondary structure includes four short double-helical elements and three loops (D, anti-codon, and T loops). Further hydrogen bonds mediate the characteristic L-shaped molecular structure. tRNAs have two regions of fundamental functional importance: the anti-codon, which is responsible for specific mRNA codon recognition, and the 3' end, to which the tRNAs corresponding amino acid is attached (by aminoacyl-tRNA synthetases). tRNAs cope with the degeneracy of the genetic code in two manners: having more than one tRNA (with a specific anti-codon) for a particular amino acid; and 'wobble' base-pairing, i.e. permitting non-standard base-pairing at the 3rd anti-codon position.
Source: Rfam by way of RNAcentral